AAACCAGCACCUCAAGUGGUCAGGAGGAUUAUUGGGCCUAAAGCAUCCGUAGCCGGCUCUGUAAGUUUUCGGUUAAAUCUGUACGCUCAACGUACAGGCUGCCGGGAAUACUGCAGAGCUCGGGAGUGGGAGAGGUAGACGGUACUUGGUAGGAAGGGGUAAAAUCCUUUGAUCUACUGAUGACCACCUGUGGCGAAGGCGGUCUACCAGAACACGUCCGACGGUGAGGGAUGAAAGCUGGGGGAGCAAACCGGAUUAGAAACCCCAGUAGUCC
This 274-nucleotide ribosomal RNA is filed under the name uncultured bacterium. RNAcentral's name for it is "partial 16S ribosomal RNA". It matches the Rfam family "Archaeal small subunit ribosomal RNA", at positions 473 to 747 of the family's 1478-position model. The record is from RNAcentral.